RNAcentral lists this microRNA (22 nucleotides) under Petromyzon marinus (sea lamprey). RNAcentral's name for it is "pma-miR-375b-3p". Its record names the gene pma-miR-375b-3p. Lineage: Eukaryota; Metazoa; Chordata; Hyperoartia; Petromyzontiformes; Petromyzontidae. The record is from miRBase by way of RNAcentral.
UUUGUUCGUUCGGCUCGCGUUG